RNAcentral lists this long non-coding RNA (230 nucleotides) under Elaeis guineensis (African oil palm). RNAcentral's name for it is "long non-coding RNA (EGUI_LNC082216)". The record is from RNAcentral. Lineage: Eukaryota; Viridiplantae; Streptophyta; Magnoliopsida; Arecales; Arecaceae.
CGACGUUCGGAUAGGUCGAAUAGUCGCAAUCACAACAUUCAGAACCUACGCGAAUAUGGUUACUGUAUAAUUCAUCCCUUUUGACCCCUGUGUAUAGGACGACUCAGGGUUAAGCUGUCAACCCUGAUCAGAUAAUCCGAAUCGAGCUCAACUCAAAUAGUCCUGUGACUCCUCACUAGGACUACCCUAGCCAAGAUUUUGCUAAAUUGAAACAUGACUGUACACAGCUC